This 72-nucleotide transfer RNA is filed under the name Bos taurus (domestic cattle). It matches the Rfam family "tRNA". From Rfam's summary of the family: Transfer RNA (tRNA) molecules are approximately 80 nucleotides in length. Their secondary structure includes four short double-helical elements and three loops (D, anti-codon, and T loops). Further hydrogen bonds mediate the characteristic L-shaped molecular structure. tRNAs have two regions of fundamental functional importance: the anti-codon, which is responsible for specific mRNA codon recognition, and the 3' end, to which the tRNAs corresponding amino acid is attached (by aminoacyl-tRNA synthetases). tRNAs cope with the degeneracy of the genetic code in two manners: having more than one tRNA (with a specific anti-codon) for a particular amino acid; and 'wobble' base-pairing, i.e. permitting non-standard base-pairing at the 3rd anti-codon position. The record is from Rfam by way of RNAcentral. Lineage: Eukaryota; Metazoa; Chordata; Mammalia; Artiodactyla; Bovidae. RNAcentral also lists the same sequence under 4 other names.
UCCCUGAUGAUCUAGUGGCUAAGACUCCAUUCUCCCAGUGUAGGGACCCUGGUUCGAACCCUGGUCAGGGAA